Molecule: ribosomal RNA, 524 nt
Filed under: Klebsiella pneumoniae
Lineage: Bacteria; Pseudomonadati; Pseudomonadota; Gammaproteobacteria; Enterobacterales; Enterobacteriaceae
Description: partial 23S ribosomal RNA
Rfam family: Bacterial large subunit ribosomal RNA
Source: RNAcentral
CGAAACCCGGUGAUCUAGCCAUGGGCAGGUUGAAGGUUGGGUAACACUAACUGGAGGACCGAACCGACUAAUGUUGAAAAAUUAGCGGAUGACUUGUGGCUGGGGGUGAAAGGCCAAUCAAACCGGGAGAUAGCUGGUUCUCCCCGAAAGCUAUUUAGGUAGCGCCUCGUGAACUCAUCUUCGGGGGUAGAGCACUGUUUCGGCUAGGGGGUCAUCCCGACUUACCAACCCGAUGCAAACUACGAAUACCGAAGAAUGUUAUCACGGGAGACACACGGCGGGUGCUAACGUCCGUCGUGAAGAGGGAAACAACCCAGACCGCCAGCUAAGGUCCCAAAGUCAUGGUUAAGUGGGAAACGAUGUGGGAAGGCACAGACAGCCAGGAUGUUGGCUUAGAAGCAGCCAUCAUUUAAAGAAAGCGUAAUAGCUCACUGGUCGAGUCGGCCUGCGCGGAAGAUGUAACGGGGCUAAACCAUGCACCGAAGCUGCGGCAGCGACACUAUGUGUUGUUGGGUAGGGGAGCG